GCCCCUGCCCGCCUACGGGAGGCAGCAGUGGGGAAUAUUGGACAAUGGGCGCAAGCCUGAUCCAGCCAUACCGCGUGGGUGAAGAAGGCCUUCGGGUUGUAAAGCCCUUUUGUUGGGAAAGAAAUCCAGCCGGCUAAUACCUGGUUGGGAUGACGGUACCCAAAGAAUAAGCACCGGCUAACUUCGUGCCAGCAGCCGCGGUAAUACGAAGGGUGCAAGCGUUACUCGGAAUUACUGGGCGUAAAGCGUGCGUAGGUGGUUAUUUAAGUCCGUUGUGAAAGCCCUGGGCUCAACCUGGGAACUGCAGUGGAUACUGGAUGACUAGAGUGUGGUAGAGGGUAGCGGAAUUCCUGGUGUAGCAGUGAAAUGCGUAGAGAUCAGGAGGAACAUCCAUGGCGAAGGCAGCUACCUGGACCAACACUGACACUGAGGCACGAAAGCGUGGGGAGCAAACAGGAUUAGAUACCCUGGUAGUCCACGCCCUAAACGAUGCGAACUGGAUGUUGGGUGCAAUUUGGCACGCAGUAUCGAAGCUAACGC
RNAcentral lists this ribosomal RNA (540 nucleotides) under uncultured Stenotrophomonas sp. RNAcentral's name for it is "bacterial SSU rRNA". It matches the Rfam family "Bacterial small subunit ribosomal RNA", at positions 328 to 858 of the family's 1533-position model. The record is from RNAcentral. Lineage: Bacteria; Pseudomonadati; Pseudomonadota; Gammaproteobacteria; Lysobacterales; Lysobacteraceae.